AGAGUUCGAUCCUGGCUCAGGAUGAACGCUGGCUGCAUGCUUAACACAUGCAAGUCGGACGGGAAACACGGGAAACGGUGUUUCCAGUGGAGGACGGGUGAGUAACGUGUAAGAACCUGCCCUUGGGAGGAGAAUAACAGUUGGAAAUGGCUGCUAAUACCCCGUAGGCUGAGGAAUAAAAUGAGGAAUCCGCCCAAGAAGGGGCUCGCGUCUGAUUAGCUAGUUGGUGAGGCAAUAGCUUACCAAGGCAAUGAUCAGUAGCUGGUCCGAGAGGAUGAUCAGCCACACUGGGACUGAGACACGGCCCAGACUCCUACAGGAGGCAGCAGUGGAGAAUUUUCCAUAAUGGGCGAAAGCCUGACGGAGCAAUGUCGCGUGGAGGUAGAAGGCCCACGGGUCAUGAACUUCUUUUCCUGGAGAAGAAGCAAUGACGGUAUCUAGGGAAUAAGCAUCGGCUAACUCUGUGCCAGCAGCCGCAGUAAUACAGAGGAUGCAAGCGUUAUCCGGAAUGAUUGGGCGUAAAGCGUCUGUAGGUGGCUUUUUAAGUCAGCCGUCAAAUCACAGGGCUCAACCUUGGACAGGCGGUGGAAACUACCAAGCUGGAGUAUAGUAGGGGCAGAGGGAAUUUCCGGUGGAGCGGUGAAAUGCGUAGAGAUCGGAAAGAACACCGGCGAAAGCACUCUGUUGGGCCGACACUGACACUGAGAGACGAAAGCUAGGGGAGCGAAUGGCAUUAGAUACCCCAGUAGUCCUAGCCGUAAACGAUGGAUACUAGGCGUUGUGCGUAUCGACCCGUGUAGUGUUGUAGCUAACGCGUUAAGUAUCCCGCAUGGGGAGUACAUUCGCAAGAAUGAAACUCAAAGGAAUUGACGGGGGC
Molecule: ribosomal RNA, 877 nt
Filed under: Solanum verrucosum
Lineage: Eukaryota; Viridiplantae; Streptophyta; Magnoliopsida; Solanales; Solanaceae
Description: bacterial SSU rRNA
Rfam family: Bacterial small subunit ribosomal RNA
Source: RNAcentral